GACGAACGCUGGCGGCGUGCUUAACACAUGCAAGUCGAACGGAAAGGCCCUGCUUGCAGGGUACUCGAGUGGCGAACGGGUGAGUAACACGUGGGUGAUCUGCCCUGCACUUCGGGAUAAGCCUGGGAAACUGGGUCUAAUACCGGAUAGGAGCCAUUUUUAGUGUGAUGGUUGGAAAGUUUUUUCGGUGUAGGAUGAGCUCGCGGCCUAUCAGCUUGUUGGUGGGGUAAUGGCCUACCUAGGCGGCGACGGGUAGCCGGCCUGAGAGGGUGGACGGCCACAUUGGGACUGAGAUACGGCCCAGACUCCUACGGGAGGCAGCAGUGGGGAAUAUUGCACAAUGGGCGCAAGCCUGAUGCAGCGACGCCGCGUGGGGGAUGACGGCCUUCGGGUUGUAAACUCCUUUCGCUAGGGACGAAGCUUUUGUGACGGUACCUAGAUAAGAAGCACCGGCUAACUACGUGCCAGCAGCCGCAGUAA
This 480-nucleotide ribosomal RNA is filed under the name uncultured bacterium. RNAcentral's name for it is "partial 16S ribosomal RNA". It matches the Rfam family "Bacterial small subunit ribosomal RNA", at positions 28 to 523 of the family's 1533-position model. The record is from RNAcentral.